RNAcentral lists this long non-coding RNA (2384 nucleotides) under Zea mays. Its description in RNAcentral is "long non-coding RNA (ZMAY_LNC002154)". The record is from RNAcentral. Lineage: Eukaryota; Viridiplantae; Streptophyta; Magnoliopsida; Poales; Poaceae.
GAUUGCUGUAUUCACCACAUCCGUGUUCAGUUCGUGUGGCCGCUAAGGAAUCCGGGGCGGCGGAACUUCCUGGUGCAGCGGCUUGGCGACGCGGCGUCUGGAAACCCCGAUGGCCCAUCUGCGGUGAGUCGGUUCUUCCUUUUUAUGCGGUACCUUGGGGAUCCGUUAGACGUCGUAGGAGCGUGGGAAAGAAGCGGACUUGGGGCCGGUGCUCCGACGAAGGACGGCGGUGGCGACCACUGGAUGGCCUUGGUCGGCUAGAGCGCCGGUUAGCCGGCAGGAGAGAGGGAGCCGAGUAUGGCUCGGUGUCUAGGCCUGGGCAGCGAAAGGUUGAAGACGCAGGGCAUCCGUAGAUUAAGAAAUUGACGGCCGAGAUCCGUGCGCAGGCAAACGAUUCCUGGUAAUGAUCUUGACCGUUGAUCUCAUACGAACGUCUCAUAUUAGAAUUAAAGGUAGCGCUUCGCGCGGGGAUCAGAUCCAUUGGAUCGUGAUCGGAUGGUCUUGGGUUGAUCACGUAUAUUUAGAAUAUGUGCCGUAGAUGCGGGAUCCGACGGCCAUCGUGGCAUACCGCUUUGGGAAAAAUGCGAUCUAAUCCUGGCCUCUAGAUCUGAUCUGAACGGCCCACAUCAACACAUACCCCUUCGUGACUGCAGUUUUGCAUGUGAACCCUCAGCCUUUACGUAAAUAGAACCCGCAGUACACCUUGUAAGUCGUCUGUGUCUGUGGAAUCUUGUGCCAGACCCCCUGCCUGUUUUGGUAAUUGAGGCCCGGUCCAGAAAACUCGAAAAACAGAGAAAAUAAAAUAGACAUAGAUUUUUAAUGUAUAAAUAAUUGCUAGAAACUUGUUUAAUUUGUAGAAAAUUCAUAUGAACUCCAAAUCGGUCCAUUCCAGUUCCUAAAUUUCUGUAAUAUUAUUGUUUAUCCAUUAGUACCACUGUUUUGGCAUGAAAGACAUACUAAAAUUUAUGUCUUACUUAAUUUUGUAUUAAAUACAUAAAACCUUGGGAAAUUCAUAACUUAAAAUUUAUAACUCCAAAUUUAAUGAUUCCAGUUCCUAUGAUCUUAUUUUAAUGUCUAGAUUAUUAUUGUGUAUUUUAUUUACAUGUUUGGUGUGAUGUAAAGUUUUGCUAUACUAUGUACGUAUUGUGUUGAUGCGAGUAGACGAGCAAGCUACUGUGGAUCCUGAUUUUCAACAGGUAGAAGUAGCUAAGCAGAAGCUCAUUGAAGGCAAGUUGUGCCCUUGAUGACUUCUUUUUACCCAGUCAUGUUCUUAUUAAUCAUAAUGAUCUGCAUAGGUUAAUUUUGAUGGGACCCAAUAGGUUACCCUAGAUUUUGACUAUCUUUAUACCUUGUUUCACCACAGGUUUUACUACUAAAUUUUUGGGUAGUACAUGCUAUUGCUUUAUGUGGCUUUGGGUAUAGAGAUAUUCAUCACUCAUUGUUAUACUUUUUAUUAUCUGUUUAUUAUUUACUGUUCAUGAUAAGAUCAUUAUGUUAAUGGGAACAUAGAGAACCACCCGGAAAAACAGCGCUACCACAAGGGUUUAAUGGGACACCCUUGGCUGAUUAACUAGGAAAGCUAGUGGAUGACUAGCUUACCUGAAAGGGGCAAGGGCAGUAGGGGAGUGGUCAGUGUAGGGAGGUCCUUGGGUUGAUUUUGCUGCAAUGGCGAUCAAGCGAGGGAUUCCUGCACUGGAGCUUCCUAUAAACUGUAGCGGGUUUUCUGAAACUAGUGUGACUUUGUAAAGGCCUCGUAGUGGUACCCUGCCUCAAUUCCAUGGUAGAGGUGUAUGGGGUCUGAUCAACUCCGUGGCAAAUGGGUAACACGACUUGUGGGUAAAGAUGCGCAACCUCUGUAGAGUGUAAAACUGGUAUACUAGCCAUGCUCAUGGUCAUGAGCGGCUCGGACACUCACAUGAUUAAUUUAUGGAACUUAAACUUAAUUUGUCAUUUCAUUGCAUUGGGAAUUAUUUUAUUAUCACUUUUACUUAUUAUUACUAUGGUUUGGUAUUUACUUGCACGUAGUAACUGCUAAUAAAAUUUUGACCAACUUAUAAAAGCAAUGCUCAGUUUCAACCAUUACUUUGUUGAUUAGCCUUACACUUCACAUGAACUCCCACCUUUGGUGAGUUCAUGCACAUUAUUUCCCCACAACUUGUUGAGCGAUGAACAUGUGUGAGCUCACUCUUGCUGUCUCACACCCCCCACAGGAGAAGAACAGGUGGUCGAAGAGGAGCCGCCUAACACUGAGGCUUUCGACUUGAUCUAGGUGGCGUCUCCCAGUCAGCUUUGUGGCGACAGGGAAUAUUAUUUAGUUCACUUUAUUUUAUCAUUUAUUUUUGUAAGACUUCCGCUAUGUAAUAAGUACAUUUAUGAUAUUUAUG